ACACGUAUGAAAGACAAGCUGAAAGACUUUUCUCAAUGAUGUAAGUGGUGGUGCAUGGUCGUUCUUAGUUCGUGGAUUGAUUUGUCUGGUCUAUUCCGAUAACGAGCGAGAUCCUAGCGUUCUUAAUAGAGUUUGAAGCCAAGUUUUCAGGAGCAAUCCUUUCUACUAGCUUCAUUUUAUAAACUUCUUAGACGUAUCAGAGCCGAUAAGGUUCUUGAAAUGGGUUAAUAACAGGUCAGUCAUGCCCUUAGAUGUUCUGGGCCGCACGCGCGUUACAAUGGUACACUCAGAAAGUGCCCAUUUUCAGGGUUUCUCCGGGACCUAACGGUUUCGGUAAACAUUAGUCUUUUCCUUGACUGGGCUAGACUAUUGUAAUUAUUGGUCUUCAACGAGGAAUUUUUAGUAGUCGCAGGUCAUUAACCUGCGACGA
This 430-nucleotide ribosomal RNA is filed under the name Didymium nigripes. Its description in RNAcentral is "SSU rRNA". It matches the Rfam family "Eukaryotic small subunit ribosomal RNA", at positions 1230 to 1644 of the family's 1831-position model. Lineage: Eukaryota; Evosea; Eumycetozoa; Physariida; Didymiaceae. The record is from RNAcentral.